UACUCUAGUUGAUUUUGGCACGGUUCAAUCGGAUCAAAUCUCUCAGUGUGCCUACUGAGCCCUUUAGUCUGAUUGAGCCGUGCCAAUAUCAACAUUUAGUCA
This is a non-coding RNA of Corchorus olitorius, 102 nucleotides long. The record is from Rfam. Lineage: Eukaryota; Viridiplantae; Streptophyta; Magnoliopsida; Malvales; Malvaceae.